UACGUAGGGUGCAAGCGUUGUCCGGAAUUAUUGGGCGUAAAGAGCUCGUAGGCGGUCUGUUGCGUCGGCUGUGAAAACCCGGGGCUCAACUCCGGGCCUGCAGCCGAUACGGGCAGACUAGAGUUCGGCAGGGGAGACUGGAAUUCCUGGUGUAGCGGUGAAAUGCGCAGAUAUCAGGAGGAACACCGGUGGCGAAGGCGGCUUUCUGGACACUAACUGACGCUGAGACGCGAAAGCGUGGGGAGCAAACAGG
Molecule: ribosomal RNA, 253 nt
Filed under: uncultured bacterium
Lineage: Bacteria
Description: partial 16S ribosomal RNA
Rfam family: Bacterial small subunit ribosomal RNA
Source: RNAcentral